CCAGCGUUGCCAGCUUGGAGAGAAGGUCGGCCCUGGUAUUUUCCAUUCUCGAAAUCUGCCUGAUGUUGAAGCUACUGAAGGUGGGGACGAGCUCCUUUACCUUUUCAAGAUACUUAGCCAUGCUGUCCUCCCAUGCUUCGUAGUUUUCGUUGACUUGUCCCACUACUAGUUGGGAGUCGCUGUGGACUUGGAGCCGAUCUACUCCCAGCUCUUUGGCGAUCUUCAG
Molecule: long non-coding RNA, 226 nt
Filed under: Elaeis guineensis (African oil palm)
Lineage: Eukaryota; Viridiplantae; Streptophyta; Magnoliopsida; Arecales; Arecaceae
Description: long non-coding RNA (EGUI_LNC068851)
Source: RNAcentral